CGACUUGGAGGUUGUGCCCUUGAGGCGUGGCUUCCGGAGCUAACGCGUCAAGUCGACCGCCUGGGGAGUACGGCCGCAAGGUUAAGACUCAAAUGAAUUGACGGGGGCCCGCACAAGCGGUGGAGCAUGUGGUUUAAUUCGAUGCAACGCGAAGAACCUUACCUACUCUUGGCAUCCAGAGAACUUUCCAGAGAUGGAUUGGUGCCUUCGGGAACUCUGAGACAGGUGCUGCAUGGCUGUCGUCAGCUCGUGUUGUGAAAUGUUGGGUUAAGUCCCGCAACGAGCGCAACCCUUAUCCUUUGUUGCCAGCGGUCCGGCCGGGAACUCAAAGGAGACUGCCAGUGAUAAACUGGAGGAAGGUGGGGAUGACGUCAAGUCAUCAUGGCCCUUACGAGUAGGGCUACACACGUGCUACAAUGGCGCAUACAAAGAGAAGCGACCUCGCGAGAGCAAGCGGACCUCAUAAAGUGCGUCGUAGUCCGGAUUGGAGUCUGCAACUCGACUCCAUGAAGUCGGAAUCGCUAGUAAUCGUAGAUCAGAAUGCUACGGUGAAUACGUUCCCGGGCCUUGUACACACCGCCCGUCACACCAUGGGAGUGGGUUGCAAAAGAAGUAGGUAGCUUAACCUUCGGGAGGGCGCUUACCACUUUGUGAUUCAUGACUGGGGUGAAGUCGUAACAAGGUAUC
RNAcentral lists this ribosomal RNA (687 nucleotides) under uncultured bacterium. RNAcentral's name for it is "bacterial SSU rRNA". It matches the Rfam family "Bacterial small subunit ribosomal RNA", at positions 813 to 1500 of the family's 1533-position model. The record is from RNAcentral.